CAAACUUAUAUCAGCUUUCUGGCUCCUGUGUUUUUUUGGAUUGGUUCUCUCAUUUCAUGUUCACUUUCCGAUAUUCUUUUGCGCAAAAAAGUGUUAUCGAAACUGACUGUUCGUAAAAUGUUUAACGCUAUCACUAACAUACCAACCGGGUUGUUUUUUUUGUUAGCUACAUUUGUUCCACGAGAACAAUACUAUUUUGGUAUUAUUUUAAUGCUUCUUGCCUGCUUUUUUUCUGGGUGUCAAUACUCGGUGGUUCUUCCUAACAUUAUUGAUAUUGUUCCACAAUAUUGUGGAAUUCUUACUGGAAUUUCGAAUACGGUGGCUACUUUUGGAGCAAUCAUUGCCAUCCAAUCGACCUACAUUAUUGUCACUGAUCAGCAUAAAAUAACUCAAUGGUGGACUGUGUUUGGAAUUAUGAUUGGUAUUGAAACGGUUGCCUUCUUGGUUUUCACCAUUUUUGCUCAAUGUGAGCCACAGAAGUGGUCUAUCGAUCACUCUCAGAGUAUAG
Long non-coding RNA from Octopus sinensis (East Asian common octopus), 508 nucleotides. RefSeq lists it as uncharacterized. The transcript has 3 exons. The record is from RefSeq and is a predicted model, not a curated record. NCBI's taxonomy places the organism in Eukaryota, Metazoa, Mollusca, Cephalopoda, Octopoda, Octopodidae.